Molecule: long non-coding RNA, 957 nt
Filed under: Panax ginseng (ginseng)
Lineage: Eukaryota; Viridiplantae; Streptophyta; Magnoliopsida; Apiales; Araliaceae
Description: long non-coding RNA (PGIN_LNC001322)
Source: RNAcentral
ACGACUCUUCUUCUGCAAAACUCUAGUCCUUUUUCUAUAUCCUCCUCAAAUCCCUCUCGCUCGGCUUUCAUCCACUGGCUCCGAUCUUUAACGCGUAGUUUCUAUUCGAAUCUGGUCGAUUCGAUCUUCUUGUUCUUCUGCAACUCCCGCUCUUUUUUCCAUAACUAAAUUCCCUUUUCAUUUCUCUCUCUAUAUAUACAAAUUUAUUAAUUUUUUUUGUUUUUUGUUUUUGGGGAAAUUAGUUUUAACUGCAGUGGAGUGGUUUUCAGUGUCUUAUAGUGAUGUUCUGAUCCUGCUAAAAACCCUAAUUUUCAUGUUCUCUUGCUGAUUGGAAAAUUUUAUUUUACAGAUUUUAGUAUUAUGCGCACUGAGUCUUAAAAGGAUGGGAAAGAGGAAGGAUUUUUACUAGUGGCUACGAUCUGGCUUUUUUUCUUAGUCGGAGGUUGAGGAUUCUCAUUGUUGGGUUCAUCAUUAUCGGUGGUGGAAAGGGAGAUUGGGUUUUCUUAGUCGGAGGAUGAGGAUUCUCCAGGCAUGAAUAUCUGAGCUGGUUUAAUCUCCUAGUUUCUUUUUUUAAAAGUCAAAUUGUAAACAAUACCUCUGGCCGAAAAAUAAGUAUUCUGGCCGGACUCUCAAAUUGGGGCUACAUUGUAUCAAAUUAAAUAUUUAAUGUAGUAAAUUAUAAGUUCAAAUUUUUUAACGACCGAAUCAUGAAUAUGAUGAUACCUGAAGUAACAUAAGUGCAUUUAGCCCUUGUAUAUGUGGAGUGGCAUUUCUUACGGUAAUAAAUUAAAUAGGUUUACAUCAACCUAAUCAUUUCUAACUAGACUAGAUUAACUAGGGGUGAGUAUGGUGCAAUUUGAAGCGAAAAUUGCACACAAAAUCGUUUAGGUGUGUUUUAACAAAUUCAAAAUCGCACAUAAAAUCACUUGUGAUUGAUGCGGUGCGGUUUUAUUUGAU